UAAGAGUCCCCUAAACGCCUGGGUUGGGGGGCGCGGGCGGCCAGUGCGGCGACCCUCGAAGCGCUCCAACUUUCCUAACCUCCCGCUGGGAUGCCGCGGAGAGCACAUCUCUAUCAUCAGUUCCCUGAUGGUCCAAGGGUGAGGGGGAGCUACUCUGAGGUUUCUAGAAUUGACAGUCGCAUUCGGGAGAAACGCUGCUGCUCUCUGCAGAGGAGCACCUUUGUUGUUCUGAGAUAUUUGUUUAAGACUCUUCUUUUGAAAAAAUUAAUGCAUGAAAGACGCGUUGAAAUACACGAAUACGUUCUUGAGUGUAAUUUUACACAGCCCAGGCACAUCUAGAGUAAAAGGACCGUAUCACAUCCCCUGCCCAUUGCAGCCGCUCCCCAGAGAAAACAAGCUGUCUUGGAUUUUGAGUUGAUGAGAACUGUUUGGAUUUACAAAAUAAAAAGAGUUCCCAAGGGAGAGGUUUAAAUCUGGCCUCCAAUGGAAAAGAAACUGAAAAUAUAUAUGUAUGUAUGCCUAUGUAUAACUGAAUUGCUUUGCCAUACACCUGAAACUAACAUUGUAAAUCAACUACACUUCAAUAAAAAAUAAGAAUAAAAAAAAAUCUGGCCUCACAAUUCAUAGAGGAAAACAGGAGUGCUGGAGUUUCCAUCCCCUUCUCUGCCACUCUUUCCUUUUCUCUUGUUUGUGACGGGGAGAUGCAGUCCCAGGUGUCCCUCCAAGCCCCUUGCGGAAGCCCUUAGUUUAGUCUGCAGGGAAGGGCGCUGUGUUGGUGAGGC
Non-coding RNA from Vicugna pacos (alpaca), 782 nucleotides. The record is from RefSeq and is a predicted model, not a curated record. Lineage: Eukaryota; Metazoa; Chordata; Mammalia; Artiodactyla; Camelidae.